Molecule: transfer RNA, 55 nt
Filed under: Macropostrongyloides mawsonae
Lineage: Eukaryota; Metazoa; Nematoda; Chromadorea; Rhabditida; Strongylidae
Description: tRNA-Glu
Source: RNAcentral
GAGGCUUUAGUAUAAAUAGUAUAAUUUAUUUUCAAUAAAUAGGAAUAAGUCUUGU